GUCCACGCCGUAAACGUUGGGCGCUAGGUGUGGGGGACUUUCCACGUCCUCCGUGCCGCAGCUAACGCAUUAAGCGCCCCGCCUGGGGAGUACGGCCGCAAGGCUAAAACUCAAAGGAAUUGACGGGGGCCCGCACAAGCGGCGGAGCAUGUGGCUUAAUUCGACGCAACGCGAAGAACCUUACCAAGGCUUGACAUACGCAGAAAUCCGGCAGAGAUGUCGGGUCCGCAAGGGCUGCGUACAGGUGGUGCAUGGUUGUCGU
This 262-nucleotide ribosomal RNA is filed under the name uncultured bacterium. Its description in RNAcentral is "partial 16S ribosomal RNA". It matches the Rfam family "Bacterial small subunit ribosomal RNA", at positions 793 to 1055 of the family's 1533-position model. The record is from RNAcentral.